Molecule: ribosomal RNA, 2343 nt
Filed under: Triticum aestivum (bread wheat)
Lineage: Eukaryota; Viridiplantae; Streptophyta; Magnoliopsida; Poales; Poaceae
Description: partial small subunit ribosomal RNA
Source: RNAcentral
AUGGCGCAGCCCGACGAGGGCAACGAGGCACUGGAUCGGGAGACCACCUCUCUGCCCACGGCUACUCCAAUCAGGCAAUUUCCGACGACUGAGACUAAUGGCCAUCCCUCGAUGAGCAGCACACCGGCGGCCUCUGCUCUAGAAUCCUCUCUGCCCACAGCUACUCCAACCAUGCAAUUGCCAAGAACUGAGACUAAUGGCCAGCCGAGAAUGAGCAACACACCAGUGAAUAAUCAAGACAUACAAGAUGCAGAUAAUACUCCAAGAGUUGGGAAGUGCUUUCAGUCAGAAGAAGAGGCGUACCAAUUUUACAAUUCUUAUGCUCAAACCAAGGGAUUUAGCAUUAGGAAGUGCCACUUGAAGUUUAGAGCAGAUGGGACUUUAAGUUCCAGAUAUUUUGUUUGUAGCAAGGCAGGUGUGAAAAAUGCUAAUCCAACACAUGUGGCCAAGAAAGAACAAGCUAUUUCGAGGACUAAUUGUAUGGCUCGAGUUCAAUUCCGCAUCAAUCAAGAGGGAAUUUGGAUUGCUCAGAAAGUUACGCUCGACCACAAUCACCAGCUUGUAAGUCCAGAUAAGAGGCACAUGCUUAGAUCUCAGCGUCAACUCUUAGAUGCCGAUCGCCACAUGAUUAAGCAAAUGAGGACAUCGGGAAUUAAACAAGCCGAAAUAUAUGAUUUUUGCGAGCUUUGGUAUGGUAAAGAUGCUAUACCCUUCUUGCAAAUGGAUUGCAACAAUUAUUUGCGAAGUGAGCGCUCAAAGUAUUUGGAAACCAAAGAUGCACAAACAUUAAUGGAGUAUCUAAAGAAAAAGCAAGCUGAGGACCCUUCGUUUUUCUAUGCCAUGCAGUUAGAUGAUGAUGAUGGUACAAUAAUGAACAUCUUUUGGACUGAUGGACAAGCUAUCAUGGACUAUUCUGUCUUUGGAGAUGCCCUUUCCUUUGACACCACAUUUUCAACAAAUAAGUUUCAAAUGCCAUUUGCUCCGUUUAUUGGUGUUAAUCAUCACAAGCAGACUAUUCUUUUUGGUGCAGCACUACUAUCUAAUGAAUCUGCAGAUACCUUUGAGUGGGUUUUUAGAACCUUUCUACAAGCUAUGUCUGGUAAGCAGCCUGAAACAAUAUUUACCGAUCAAUGUGCCGCCAUUAUAAAUGCUAUUGGAAGGGUUUUCCCAAAAACACGGCAUCGUCUUUGUUUAUGGCAUUUGUAUCAAAAUGCUGCAAAACAUCUAAGUCAAGUAAUCAGCGACAAUGAUAAUUUUCUUAAAGAAUUCAAAAGGUGUGUGUAUGAAGAUAGAUCACUGGCACAUUUUGAGAAUAGAUGGCAUGAGCUAUUGCUUAAGUAUCAGAUUGAGGAUAAUUCUUGGAUAAGAAAUCUGUACAAGUUGCGUGAGAAGUGGGCUACUAUCUAUCGGCGGGAUUCUUUUAGUGCAUAUAUGACAUCAACCCAAAGGAGUGAAGGAAUGAACAACGUGUUCAAGAAAACUUUCCGCAAAAGGCUUUGUCUUUCUGAAUUGAUAGAAGCAUAUGAUAAGUGCAUUGCUCGUCUUCGCCGGAAAGAAAAAUACGAAGACUACAAGUCACGCCAUACCAUUCCAGUACCCUGCCUACCAAACCUACCUUUGUUGAAGACUGCGGCUGAAUCAUAUACUAGGACACUCUAUUCUGAGUUUCAAGAGGAAUUUAAGAAGCAAUUCAGUUUAUCAUGUAUUUUCCUGAGCACCGAUGGCACAAUUAGCACUUACAAGGUGACAUCUUUCGAGUACAAGAAUGAUGAAGCCAUAGUGGCUUUCAACCCAGCUACUUUGGAGAUAUCUUGUUCAUGCAAAUUGUAUGGUUGUGUAGGUAUAUUGUGCAAGCACGCUCAUAAGGUUUUCACAUGCUGCAACAUCAUCAUCCUGCCAAGUCAGUACAUAUCGAACAGAUGGACGAAGUAUGCAAAACAAGAAAUUUUUACAUCAAAACUGAAUUGCAAUGAUAGCUUAGAAUCCAUGUUUGCACAUACUAGUCGAAAGAUGAUUUCACUUGCAUUGAAGUGCAAAACAUCAAAGGAGGUUCUUACACAUCUCAACAAUGGUAUUGAUAAGUUGGCUUUGGAAGCACUAGAAUUACUUAGCAAUUUAAACUUGGGUGAAGAUGAGGACUCUAAAAGUUCCUCCGAAAUGACUGGAUAUGUUGCAAAAACAAUGGUGCCAUUUAGAGCUCCUGAACGAAUAAAAGGUUCAAAGCAAAAAAGAUCAAAAGAUGUGCUAGAGGGAGCAAAGAAAGGCAAAAAAAGGAAAAGGUACAAACUAUCCAGCAAAGGAGUCCGUGUUUGUUCCGUCCGCAGCUGGCCCUUCGGAAUAUGA